UGGGGAAUAUUGGACAAUGGGCGCAAGCCUGAUCCAGCAAUGCCGCGUGGGUGAAGAAGGCCUGCGGGUUGUAAAGCCCUUUAAGUGGGGAGGAACGGCGGGGAUGCGAACAGUGUUCUGCUCUGACGUUACCCACAGAAUAAGCACCGGCUAACUCCGUGCCAGCAGCCGCGGUAAUACGGGGGGUUGCAAGCGUUAAUCGGAAUUACUGGGCGUAAAGCGUGCGUAGGCGGUUUGGUCAGUCAGCCGUGAAAGCCCUGGGCUUAACCUGGGAACGGCGGUUGAGACGGCCAGACUCGAGUGGGCUAGAGGAUCGUGGAAUUCCCGGUGUAGCGGUGAAAUGCGUAGAGAUCGGGAGGAACACCGAUGGCGAAGGCAGCGGUCUGGGGCCACGACUGAC
This 400-nucleotide ribosomal RNA is filed under the name uncultured bacterium. Its description in RNAcentral is "bacterial SSU rRNA". It matches the Rfam family "Bacterial small subunit ribosomal RNA", at positions 355 to 744 of the family's 1533-position model. The record is from RNAcentral.